GGUUAAGCGACUAAGCGUACACGGUGGAUGCCCUGGCAGUCAGAGGCGAUGAAGGACGUGCUAAUCUGCGAUAAGCGCCGGUAAGGUGAUAUGAACCGUUAUAACCGGCGAUUUCCGAAUGGGGAAACCCAGUGUGACUCGUCACACUAUCAUUAACUGAAUCCAUAGGUUAAUGAGGCGAACCGGGGGAACUGAAACAUCUAAGUACCCCGAGGAAAAGAAAUCAACCGAGAUUCCCCCAGUAGCGGCGAGCGAACGGGGAGGAGCCCAGAGCCUGAAUCAGCAUGUGUGUUAGUGGAAG
This 301-nucleotide ribosomal RNA is filed under the name Salmonella enterica. RNAcentral's name for it is "partial 23S ribosomal RNA". It matches the Rfam family "Bacterial large subunit ribosomal RNA", at positions 1 to 307 of the family's 2925-position model. Lineage: Bacteria; Pseudomonadati; Pseudomonadota; Gammaproteobacteria; Enterobacterales; Enterobacteriaceae. The record is from RNAcentral. RNAcentral also lists the same sequence under 1 other name.